GGCGGAUCUCCUCCUUCUCCGUCAAGAUCCAGCCCUUGUCCUCCGCCUCCGCUGCAUGGGCCUUCAGGAGGUCCAAGUCCGUGCCAUCCUUCGGGGACUUCGCCGGCGGCCCUCUCAGAAGGUGGUGGGAUUGGGGGCUGGGGUGGGUCCUCUCGAGGAAGCCGACCUUCGCCCGGGACCUCGAGAUGAACGAGGAGGAGACCGUGAUGCUCGGAUGCCACAGCAAGGGGACCUGGCGGCACGUCUUCUACAAGGUGCGGUCGGAGUUCAGGAAGCUCGUGGGAUCCAACACCUUGCCGACCACGCAGCAAUUUAGGUAUGAUUCCUUCAGCUAUGCGAAAAAUUUCGAUGAUGGCAAGAUGGGAGAGCAGUGAGG
Molecule: long non-coding RNA, 376 nt
Filed under: Elaeis guineensis (African oil palm)
Lineage: Eukaryota; Viridiplantae; Streptophyta; Magnoliopsida; Arecales; Arecaceae
Description: long non-coding RNA (EGUI_LNC019021)
Source: RNAcentral